GCAGCUGUGCUUCGUCUGUCGUCCAUAUUUGGUAGCAAACUUGUUCACAUCUCAACAGCUCUUUGCAGGAGCUGAAAGCCCUCUUGCCUUGCAGUGGAAGGGAAGCUCAGCACACUCCCAGUAUCACCGAGCUGCGGUGGCCAGAAAUCCUACUGCUGAAAACCAGAGAGAAAAUCUGUUUGUGAGGACUUUGCAGUGCAGCUGCGGAGAGGAGAAGCAGCUCCAAACCCAGCAGAGCAGCUGCAGAGCUGUCCUGCCGCGGGCACACAUGGGGAGAUGCGUGGCCAGGAGGAGGACGCAUCGCUCCGGGAAGGACCUCGGAGGGCCGGGAACCCGACGCCAUUUCCAUGCCCUCCUGACCCCAAAGGCCUCAAAGGACUCAGCAUUCACUGCUCGUGCUUCCACAUCAUUUCUGAUGCGCUCGGCUCCGCGGCACACAGACAGCAGCC
This 449-nucleotide long non-coding RNA is filed under the name Chrysolophus pictus (golden pheasant). RNAcentral describes it as "lncRNA (ENSCPIG00010000227.1)". Lineage: Eukaryota; Metazoa; Chordata; Aves; Galliformes; Phasianidae. The record is from RNAcentral.